Molecule: ribosomal RNA, 496 nt
Filed under: uncultured bacterium
Lineage: Bacteria
Description: partial 16S ribosomal RNA
Rfam family: Bacterial small subunit ribosomal RNA
Source: RNAcentral
GAUGAACGCUGGCGGCGUGCCUAAUACAUGCAAGUCGAGCGAACGGACGAGAAGCUUGCUUCUCUGAUGUUAGCGGCGGACGGGUGAGUAACACGUGGAUAACCUACCUAUAAGACUGGGAUAACUUCGGGAAACCGGAGCUAAUACCGGAUAAUAUUUUGAACCGCAUGGUUCAAAAGUGAAAGACGGUCUUGCUGUCACUUAUAGAUGGAUCCGCGCUGCAUUAGCUAGUUGGUAAGGUAACGGCUUACCAAGGCAACGAUGCAUAGCCGACCUGAGAGGGGGAUCGGCCACACUGGAACUGAGACACGGUCCAGACUCCUACGGGAGGCAGCAGUAGGGAAUCUUCCGCAAUGGGCGAAAGCCUGACGGAGCAACGCCGCGUGAGUGAUGAAGGUCUUCGGAUCGUAAAACGCUGUUAUUAGGAAGAACAUAUGUGUAAGUAACUGUGCACAUCUUGACGGUACCUAAUCAGAAAGCCACGGCUAACUACGUG